Molecule: long non-coding RNA, 2168 nt
Organism: Triticum aestivum (bread wheat)
Lineage: Eukaryota; Viridiplantae; Streptophyta; Magnoliopsida; Poales; Poaceae
Exons: 3
Source: RefSeq, a predicted model, not a curated record
CCUAAUCCUGUGCCAAGUGGCUUCUCACCAUUGGUUGCUCCCCCAAUCGGUGAGACAGCUAGGGCUGCAUCUCUCCCUCGCGUUGACGCCGCCGCCCCGUCCCCUUCUCUUCGUUGCCUCCCCUCGCGCCGCCGCCCUCCGAGAAGCAACGCGGCCACUACUGCUCUGUGUUGCGCCGAGCUUGCCACCGCCGCCGCUCUCCCCGUCGAGCUCGUCCCUCACCACCGGCCCUCAAGUUGUGGAGGGGCAACAGGCAGCGGUGGACGAGGAGAUCGCCGCCACCCACCGCCUCGAACCAUGCCGUCGGCACCCAUCCACCCGUCCUCCUCUCCCCUCCCUCCUCGCUGAGAUCGCCGUCGGUGCUGCUCUCCCCGUCGAGCUCGCCCCUCGCCAUUGCCGGGAGGAGACACCACCGGCCAAAGCGUCGAUGGGGGCCUCCAUGGUUGUCGGCGACCUCCUCCUUGCCGACCUCAGCCCGCCACAUCCGUCUUUCAUGCCCGUCUCCCUCCACUCGAGCCGUCGACUCGCGCUCGCCCUUCGUCGGAGGAGUGACGAGGAGGCCAGGUGGAACGCGCCGUCGUCGGGUUCCAGUGGCUCGACCAGGCCCUCCACCGUAGAGACCCCUCCUUCAUGACCCGCACGAGAAGUUCCUCCGCCCCAUGCGGGGCAUGCAGGGCACGCUCAUCGUCGCAUCCACGCUCCAGAUCGUCAUGGGCUUCAGCGGUCACUGGCGCAUCGUCAUCAGACUGCUGAGCCCGCUGUUGGCCGUGCCGCUCAUCGCACUCGUAGGAUUUGGGCUCUACGAGCUUGGAUUACCAAGUGAUAACUGUACCAUACCCAUUCCAGUGGGGAGCACCGACUUUUGAUGCUGGUGAAUGCUUUGCCAUGAUGGCAGCUACUUUUGUUGCUCUUGUUUUAUAGCUUCAAUCUGCGAUGUGGAAGAAUAUUGGCAUGACUAAUUUCUCAAAAAAAAAAAAACUUGCUUUUUCAGCACCAUGUUGUUAAUCCAUCAGAUAUGAACCAAUGAAUUUAUAAACAGAAAUGUUUUGUGUUGCUCUUUCAGCUAUGUCUAUUGUGUUGUCAUGGCCAUACUUGCACAACAGCGACGCGUCUCCAAGAUGCACUCUUUAGUAUGGCGUCAGAACAACUAAAUUUUCAGUCAUGAACUAUUUUCUUUAUUUUUUUUCUACUUGCUCACUAAACAAUGCAUUGACUUUCUUUCCCAAUUCUGUCCAUUCAUCGCUGAUACGUGGAUUAUUUUGUGUGUUUGUAUACUCUGUACAAGUCUAGCAAUGUUCAUUCUUUGUCAUUUAAGAGUGCUCUAUUUUGCUCUGUUACUGUAGUAGCAAUUUGUGACUCGGAUACAAAUUGUUUGGCUCGAGUGGUUGAAUUUAUAGGGACAUGCUAUCUUACUUGCCAUUAUGCAGCCUAUACCAUGCAUCUGUCAUGGCAGUAUUAACCCCACCAUCAACAUUUGCUUAAAAUGUAAAUGAAAUCAGUUCUAAUAUAAGGAUCUAUUUUGAAAAUAGAACAUAUGGAUACAAAAGAGCUAAUUUAUUUUGUAUUUAUUUACAACAUGUGAUUCACUACUUUCUUUAUCAGGUGUCCAUGUUAUUUUUUCAUUUCUUCUUUUUGGUCAGAAGCAGAGUUCGUACACAUGAUUAGGUAGGUCGUGGAUUUGUGCAUCUAGCUAGCAUCGCUAAUCUUGUGUGUAUGAUGCUUAGCCAAGCAGUGUUUCAUUCAUCUGAAAAUAGAUCAAGUGGUACUUUGAUUUUUCUCCACCUAACAAUUUUUUUGUUCUUUCCUUUUGAAUACUUAGCUAAGCAGUGUUUCAUUCAUCUGAAACUCAAGAUUUGAUAGUGGCAACCUCAAGGAGAUGGCGUUGCAUUUAAGUGUUUCUUGUUCCCAUUUCUGGUUCCUGAACUUAACCUCUAUCCUUUCCUACAAAAUUAGGAGAGCAAAUGAUGGUUUGCUUACUCAUUUUCUUGGUGUUGUAUUACUAAUAUGGAGAAAUACUAUACUGAGAGGAAGUUAUAGGUUUGGAAAAUGACAGUGGUUAACUAUCUCGCAUCUAUACUCAAUUCAUGUAAAUGCCCCUGCAUAGAUGUCAUGUUCUCGGGGAUCUUCUUUUCAGCCAUUUGUUUGUAUAUUAAUGUGAUGUUGAUCUA